This is a long non-coding RNA of Pecten maximus, 966 nucleotides long. RefSeq lists it as uncharacterized. Lineage: Eukaryota; Metazoa; Mollusca; Bivalvia; Pectinida; Pectinidae. The record is from RefSeq and is a predicted model, not a curated record. The transcript is spliced from 3 exons.
AAUCAUGUGCACUGUGAAAGAGUACGAUGUUGCAGUAAUCAUAGUAAUAAUUAAAUAAAAAUAUAUAACAACAACUAAAAUAUAUAUAUAUAAUAAUAUCGAUAGGAUUUCUCAUGAUAUCGUAGGCGGCCUAAUAACUUUAUUCGACAUUUUUCUUCUUCGUUCACUUGGCCCUACUAUACACAUGUAUACCCACCGCCAGGCGGCGCUCCCUUCAGUUUAGCGGGAGAUUUGUAUUACAAGUGGCGGCCAUUUUGUUUGUUUACGGAAACGUGAUGAAAGCUUAGACCUAGAACAAAAUCACGUUAUAUAUACAGUACGGUAUAUAUUUGCGACAUUUAAUUUCCCCACUCACGGAAUACAAUCGACAAACUGGGAACAGAAUAUCAAAUUUCGUCUAGCUUUUGGCGACUUAUGAUACCCCUUUCACCGGCAAACACUGAAUUAUCGGACAUGAAAUCAGGGACUAAAUUCACCAGCAUUCAUGAUCCUCGGACCACCCGCCCCCUACGCACAGCCGAUUUAUAAAUGUUGCAUCUUUCAAUCCGUGUCAAUCCCAAGAAGAACCCUGAUCAGCUCCUGGAAAAAUCAGUGUUCUUGCAGUAUUGUCAGUCAAAUCUCAAGGAAAGGAUCCCAGAAGAGGAACAUUUACAUUAUUUCAGACUUUUUUCUUUCCUGUGUAACAAUGCCUCAAACAGCUAACACAUUUUAUAUAGUAUACAAUACAAUGUGUAUUAAUAACAGUCCAGUUAGAGUGCUGUGUUAUGCAGUAAAAAUACUUAAUUCUUGAUGACAAGUUGGUUUUAUGUUUACAUUAAACGGUAGUUAUAAUAUAUACUAAAGAAACAUAGUGGAUAAUGCCUUGUACAGGAGCAGGAGUAUGACAGUGUAAUAGUACAUGACUGCUGCGUUCAUCCAUGGAAGGAGUCUGUUAUUCGAAAUAAAGCUUUCCAUGAGGACGAAAAA